UACAGAGGUCCCAAGCGUUGUUCGGAUUCAUUGGGCGUAAAGGGUGCGUAGGUGGCGCGCUAAGUCAGGUGUGAAAUUUCGGAGCUUAACUCCGAAACUGCAUUUGAUACUGGCGUGCUUGAGGACUGGAGAGGAGACUGGAAUUUACGGUGUAGCAGUGAAAUGCGUAGAGAUCGUAAGGAAGACCAGUGGCGAAGGCGGGUCUCUGGACAGUUCCUGACACUGAGCACGAAGGCCAGGGGAGCAAACGGG
This 252-nucleotide ribosomal RNA is filed under the name uncultured bacterium. RNAcentral's name for it is "partial 16S ribosomal RNA". It matches the Rfam family "Bacterial small subunit ribosomal RNA", at positions 524 to 776 of the family's 1533-position model. The record is from RNAcentral.